RNAcentral lists this long non-coding RNA (676 nucleotides) under Capsicum annuum. RNAcentral's name for it is "long non-coding RNA (CANN_LNC005322)". Lineage: Eukaryota; Viridiplantae; Streptophyta; Magnoliopsida; Solanales; Solanaceae. The record is from RNAcentral.
CCAUAUGCUUAUUUUAACAAGGAAGCUCAACUUUGGAUGUAGAUUAUUGGUGCUUGUUUAGUUCCAGGAACCCAUAUCAUUUAUGUAAUGUAUGAAUGGGUAUGUCAAGUUUUUUCUUUAACGACUGAUGUCCCUAUUAAUGUUUCUACACUAGAUUAUACUUAAGGAAAUCCCAAGUUUACUAGGGUAUUAGUUUUGGCUUUAAGAGUUUUGUGAUAAUGUUCUUGAAGAACAAUGGGUUGAGAAAGACUUGAGAUGUCAUAGGCAACCUAGAAACAUACGAUAAGUUGAUGUGUCUAUGGUGAAGUAGCCCAAUUCCACCCAUGGGCCAGUUCUUACCAUUGAGAAGAUAAAUCCUAGUGAUGAUAACUUUUUUUGGUACUUCUACGACAUAACUAAGUUGAUGAUGAUGUGUGACAGGUGCCUACUUACUGAAGAAGAGUUGAGAUAGUUGGAUAUUGACUACCUAAUGAAUUACCAUGCAAAUUUCAUGUGCCAAGUUGGUCAAACCUUUAGAGAGCUGGUAGAUGUGAUAUUUAUACUGAUGAUGAACAUUUGCUAGUUGAUUCCGAUGUGGAGAUUUAUUCUGACUAGGAGGAUUAUGAGAUGAGAUAUCUUAGACCCAAUGUGUAUGAAGAAGAUGUCUAUGCCCAGAAAGUUCUUUUCCCUAUCUUCU